This 624-nucleotide ribosomal RNA is filed under the name Clavularia inflata. RNAcentral's name for it is "partial 16S ribosomal RNA". It matches the Rfam family "Bacterial large subunit ribosomal RNA", at positions 1843 to 2577 of the family's 2925-position model. The record is from RNAcentral. Lineage: Eukaryota; Metazoa; Cnidaria; Anthozoa; Malacalcyonacea; Clavulariidae.
GUAUAGAGGGUGAAUUCUGCCCAAUGGUUGUAUAGUGAAACUAAGGAUUAACGUCUAAAGUGAAACCCAACUGAAUGGCCGCGGUAACUCUGACCGUGAUAAUGUAGCACAAUAAAUAGCCAAUUAAUUGUUGGCGGGUAUGAAUGGAACCACGAGGGUCUUACUGUCUCAAGAGAAAAGCCGAUGAAAUUAUAGUUGUAGUGAAGAUACUACAUAAACAUUGUAAGACGAAAAGACCCUAUCGAGCUUUACUGGAUGCCGAUAGCGUUAACUUAAAAUGACCGAUACAAAGUAUCCUAAUUUUGAGUUAAUAAUUUUUGUUGGCAGGACAGUUUAGUUGGGGCGACUACCUUUGAAUAAGAAACGAAGGCGAGCUUAUGGUAUAUGAAAUUAAUCUCAUUAGCCUCACAGUGAGGGGGACACCCCUAGCUGGCACAAGGACGAUGUCCUAUGUGGGCGAUAAUGACCCGAUAUUAUUGUCCAAAAUAAAUAUCGAAAGCGGAUAAAAGCUACCGUAGGGAUAACAGCGUAAUAUUGUCGGAGAGUUCUUAUCGAGGACAGUGUUUGCGACCUCGAUGUUGAAUUGCGGUGCCCUGGUGCUGUAGAAGGUACCUUAGGUUGGUC